UACGGGGGGGGCAAGCGUUGUUCGGAAUUACUGGGCGUAAAGGGCUCGUAGGCGGCCAACUAAGUCGGACGUGAAAUCCCCAGGCUCAACCUGGGAACUGCGUCCGAUACUGGAUGGCUUGAGUUCGGUAGGGGAGACUGGAAUUCCUGGUGUAGCGGUGAAAUGCGCAGAUAUCAGGAGGAACACCGGUGGCAAAGGCGGGUCUCUGGGCCGAAACUGACGCUGAGGAGCGAAAGCUAGGGGAGCAAACGGG
Molecule: ribosomal RNA, 253 nt
Filed under: uncultured bacterium
Lineage: Bacteria
Description: partial 16S ribosomal RNA
Rfam family: Bacterial small subunit ribosomal RNA
Source: RNAcentral